CGUAGGGACCGAGCGUUGUCCGGAAUCAUUGGGCGUAAAGAGCGUGUAGGCGGCCUGUUAAGUCUUGCGUGAAAUCUCGGGGCUCAACCCCGAGCGGUCGUGAGAAACUGGCAGGCUAGAGUGCGGGAGAGGAGAGUGGAAUUCCUGGUGUAGCGGUGAAAUGCGCAGAUAUCAGGAAGAACACCCGUGGCGAAGGCGGCUCUCUGGAACGCAACUGACGCUGAGACGCGAAAGCGUGGGGAGCAAACAGGAUUAGAUACCCUGGUAGUCCACGCCGUAAACGAUGGACGCUAGGUGUGGGCGGUGUCGACUCCGUCCGUGCCGAAGCUAACGCAUUAAGCGUCCCGCCUGGGGAGUACGGCCGCAAGGCUA
RNAcentral lists this ribosomal RNA (372 nucleotides) under uncultured organism. RNAcentral's name for it is "bacterial SSU rRNA". It matches the Rfam family "Bacterial small subunit ribosomal RNA", at positions 526 to 896 of the family's 1533-position model. The record is from RNAcentral.